UAAUUUUUAAUUUAAGAAAAAUAUUUCAUUUACAAUGAAAAUUUAGUAUAUUUAAAAUUAUUAAAAUUAU
RNAcentral lists this transfer RNA (70 nucleotides) under Pujadella villari. Its description in RNAcentral is "tRNA-Val". The record is from RNAcentral. Lineage: Eukaryota; Metazoa; Arthropoda; Insecta; Hymenoptera; Figitidae.